UGAAGAUUUUGUGACUGAGUGGCGGACGGGUGAGUAACGCGUGGGUAACCUGCCUCAUACAGGGGGAUAACAGUUGGAAACGACUGCUAAUACCGCAUAAGCGCACAGCAUCGCAUGAUGCAGUGCGAAAAACUCCGGUGGUAUGAGAUGGACCCGCGUCUGAUUAGCCAGUUGGUGGGGUAACGGCCUACCAAAGCGACGAUCAGUAGCCGACCUGAGAGGGUGACCGGCCACAUUGGGACUGAGAUACGGCCCAGACUCC
RNAcentral lists this ribosomal RNA (262 nucleotides) under uncultured Roseburia sp. RNAcentral describes it as "partial 16S ribosomal RNA". It matches the Rfam family "Bacterial small subunit ribosomal RNA", at positions 77 to 339 of the family's 1533-position model. Lineage: Bacteria; Bacillati; Bacillota; Clostridia; Lachnospirales; Lachnospiraceae. The record is from RNAcentral.